CGCGCCAGUGGCAGGCGGCCUAUGCCGGUUUGAUGGAGACAAGCGCGUGAGUGAUGGCAAGGCCCGGUUCCGCCCCGCGGCGCGCGGC
This 88-nucleotide transfer RNA is filed under the name Paraurantiacibacter namhicola. RNAcentral describes it as "Altererythrobacter namhicola tRNA-Ser". The record is from RNAcentral. Lineage: Bacteria; Pseudomonadati; Pseudomonadota; Alphaproteobacteria; Sphingomonadales; Erythrobacteraceae.